AACUUUAUUAUGUUGUAAUUUUAUUAUAUUGUAACUUUAUUAUGUUGUAACUUUAUUAUGUUGUAACUUUAUUAUGUUGUAAUUUUAUUAUAUUGUAACUUUAUUAUAUUGUAACUUUAUUAUAUUGUAACUUUAUUAUGUUGUAAUUUUAUUAUAUUGUAACUUUAUUAUNNNNNNNNNNUUGUAACUUUAUUAUGUUGUAAUUUUAUUAUAUUGUAACUUUAUUAUAUUGUAAUUUUAUUAUGUUGUAACUUUAUUAUGUUGUAACUUUAUUAUGUUGUAACUUUAUUAUAUUGUAAUUUUAUUAUAUUUUUUAAACCUUUAAAUCUAUAUUAAAGUUUGUGUGUGUUUUUAAGCCUUUGUUAAUUAUGAGUUCCGAGUAAUAACAAAUAAACAAAUGACAACAUUUAUAUGUGUAUAUGUAUAUAUAAAAUAAAAAUACGAAAAACGUAAACGAGUUUAAAAAUGUAUUAUAUUCAUUACUAUAAAAUUCAUUUUUUUUUUUUAUUUUGUUUUUAGUGAUGAAUCACCAUUCUCAUCUGGAAACUUAAAAAACAUAUUACAAAAUAAACAUAAACAGGUACAAGAUAAAUGGGAAAACUACGUCAAUGACGUUUUUGAUUUAACUCAUUGUGAUUUACAACAAGAAAAUGAUACAAUAAGUAUAAAAAAUAAUGAGGACAUAUCAAAUGAAAAUAUUUAUCCAUGUGUACCUAACUUUAGUAGUACAGAUAGUCAUGAGAAUAGUGAAGAUAGUGUAUCAAUCACCUCCUCCAGUGAUUUUUCUUACGUUGUAAAUAAAACAGCGCAUAUGUCUAAUAUAUUAAAUAAAUACUUUUCAACCGAUAUAUACGAUGAAAAUAGGUUUUCUGGAUGUACUAAAACGCUUGCUAGUAUGGUUAAACAAAAAAAAGUAAAAGUAAGCAGUCCAUUUGAUGGUAACCGCAUUAAUCAUUUUGGUAUUAAAAAUAUAAAUCGGUUUGUCGACAAUGACGUUAAACUAAAAUUUGUUAAUAAUUUAAUUGAUUAUUAUAGAAAACUGCAGAAUUCAAAAGGAAACAUUGAUGAUGGAAUUAAAAAAAACUCUAAAGAAAGUAAUACAAAUGAAACAAAGAAUACGAAUAGUGAUAACUCUACAGAAGCCCCAACUUUGAACAAAAGGAGUAACAGCAAAAUUUUCGAAUCUCAACUUGAAAAAAUAAACAUAAAUUAUAACUUAAAUACAAAAAAAAUAGAAAACACAAAUAAAAAUGAUAAGAAGUUAGAUGUAGGAACAUAUAUAAAAGCUGUUGAAUAUAAUAAAGCUAUUGAAUAUAAUAAAGCUAUUGAAUAUAAUAAAGCUGUUGAAUGUAAUCAAGCGGUUGAAUAUAAUGGACAAGUAAAUAAAACAAUAGUUAACAACAGAAAUAAAUUAGAUACUAGUAUAAAAAGUGCAAAUUUUUUUUUAAAAAACAAUAAAAGCAUAAACAUGUUGAGUAAUGAAAAAGAAACUGUAAAUGAUGAGAUAGCAAAAGUGAUAACAACGACCGAAAAAAAAACAAAUAAAAACCUAAAACAUGUGUUUUUGCAAAAUUCUAAUGAAAAAUUAAAAAAUCAUAAUAAUUUUAUUUCGGUAACUAAUAAAUGUUCUGAUUUUGGUAAAAAUGAAAAAGAAAUUGAAGUUAGGACAUGCAUGGAUGAACAGAACAAUGACAAAAAGGAUAAGGGAAAAAGGGGUAAGGAAAAAAUAGGUAAGGAAAAAAUAGGUAAGGAAAAAAGAGGUAAGGAAACAAAGGACAGGGAAGAUAAAAUAAUUUCGAACAAAAUGGACUCUAAAAGAAAAAAUAAAGAUUGCAAAACUAAAAAAACCUGCUUAAACGUAAAAAAUAAUAAUGAAAAAAUGUUGAAUAGUAAAAAAAAGAAAAAUAUAGUUAAUUCUGCUGUUAAUUAUGCUGUUAAUUCUGCUGUUAAUUAUGCUGUUAAUUCUGCUGUUAAAUUGAAAAAAAAAAAAAAGGUUAACAUUAAUUUUGAUAAAAUGACAGAAACUAAAACAGAGAUGUUAAAAAAUGGAUUAAUUGUAAGUGAAAAGCAAAUAUAUCUAAAAAAAGAAAGUCCUAAAAAUACGUAUAGUCUUACCACAGAUUUUACAAAAAGUAUGUAUAAAUAUAAAAAUAAAAAUGUAAAAUUAGAUCAGAAUGAUAAUAAUAAAAUAAUAAGAAAUAAAUUAUAUUUGCUCUCCAAAACAGAAUCAUCAAAUCUACAAUCAAAUAAUGAUAAAAACUACAGUAGUAGUAGUAGUAGUAGUAGCUGUUAUAAGUUUACUCCUAAAGAAAUUAUUAAAACGCCUAAGACUAAAAAAGGUAUUUCUGAAAUUUUUAUAUCGUCUACAAAUCAUCUUAAUCCUUCUGUAGAAAACAGUAAUAUACAAUCUAGCCUAUUAUUAAGUACCGACAAAGAAAAUACAAAAAAAAAUACUUCUUCUAACAUUGAAAAAUCGUACUUUGUAAGAAAUGAUUUUUCUUUUUCUUCUUCUAAAUUUUUACAUUGUCAUAAAACUAAAACUUAUCCCAGUAGUAAAUAUAAAAGUGAUCUUAUUAUGUAUAGUACACAAGAAAACGACAAAACUAUUAAAAGUUGUUUGUUUUAUAAUGAUAUAAAAAGCAAAAACACAAAGAACAAACAUGUUGUAUAUUAUAAGUAUGAGAAAAAGACAACUAAAGGCGGUAAACAAAGUAAACCAUGUAAUAACACGAAUAUUGAUAAUGACAAUGACAGUGGUAAUGACAGUGGUAAUAAUAAUUACAAGAAUAAUAGUGAUGAUUUGGAUAUACUUGAAGAUUAUAAAAAAGACCUGAGUUUGCAAAAUUAUGAGUAUUUAAACGAUGUUAAUAAUUUAAAAAAAAAACCAUUAAAUAUUUUUAAUUCAUAUGAUAAAAAAACAAACAAUAGUUAUAAUAAAGAUGACCACACUGGUAAAUUAGGACCCAACUCACAUCACAAGCAAAAAUUGGAAAAUAAUAAUAAAUACGACAAUAAUGGGUACAACGGUAACAGAUACAGUUAUGAAAAGAUGUGUGAUCGCGUUGAAAGUUCAGUAUUAAAAUUAUUUUACGAAGCUUAUGUGAACAGGAAACGAAAUAAACAUAAUACAGAAGAUAUACAUGAACCCACUUUGGAUUAUACGAAACGUGUCAUAAUCAAUCAAAGAACUAGAACCAAACAUGAACCACAGUAUGAUUAUAAAAAAUAUAAAAAAGAAUAUAUGAUUGAAUUAAUUGACAUUUUAAAAGGAGUGAAUACAUAUAAAAAAAGGAGUAAUAUACAACAAACGCAGAACUGUAGAUAUUUAUAUCCAUGUAAUGUACACUAUAAAAAUGUUUUACAUUUAAAACAUAUACCAUGCUUCAAAAACACAUCUAACGAAAUAAAUAAUAAAAAAAAAAAUAGCCAUAAUUUAGAAAAAUGUGUUGAUAAUUAUAUAACUAUGCGUAAAUAUAUAAGAAAAGAAAUUUAUAAAAUAUUAAAAAUGAGUAAGCACGAUAGUAAGAUACGAAGUAUAUUAACGUUUAUGGUUAAUUAUAUACAGAUGAAUGGUUCGAGUUUUGUUAUGUCGGAUAUUAUUGUUGAUCCAACAGGACGUGAUAAAAACACGAAUAAAACUAAUGUAUACGUUACUAAAAAUGAUAAAAAUAAAAAAAAUGUAACAGUACAUGAUAAAAUUAAAAAAAAAAAAAGAGAGAGAGAGAGAGAGAGGGAGAGAGAAAAAAAAAAGCAUUUGGUAGUACAAUAUAGUACUGAAAGGAAAGAGUUUUUAUCUGGUAGUGAGUGUGAAAAAAUGUAUGUUAAUAAUGUACCUAAACAUUUACCUUUGACUAUGUUAAUUGUUAAAAACUUUGAAGAAAAACAGGAAAAGUUAAAAGGUGUUAAAAAAUACACUGUCAAUAACACUCAAGUCCAAUAUCAAGUAAAAUUAGUUGGUACAGAUAAAAAAAAAAUAAAAGAAAAUCAAAAAAUUAUAAAAAAUGAAGUUGGUUUAUUUAGUAGAAUAGAACAUAUAUACAAUAAUGUUGGAGAAGUAAAACGUAACAUAAAUUAUGACAAUAAUAUUGUAAACAGGUAUAUUCCAUUCCCAAAUAUAGCUACUAGUUAUAUUCAAAGAUGUAAUACUAGUGACUAUAUGAAAUCUUCUUUAACUGAAAUAAAAAAUAAGGAACAGGAGUUGGUUACUAUGACCAAUGGUAAUAAUAGUGACACUGGAAAAAUAGAAAAAAGUAAUAAAAAUAAUAAUAACACUUUUUUUAAUUUAAAAUAUGUAUUAAACAAAAAAAAAAAUUUGAAUUAUAUGAAGAGUAGUAUGAAAAGCUGUACGAAGAGCUGUAUGGAGGUUAAUUAUAAAUAUAAACCACAGACGGUAAAUACAAAAAAUUGUUUUUUAGUCAAAUCGAAAAGUAAUGAUGUGAUUUAUAAAAAUAUUGAUUUAAAAAAAAAACGUAUGAAACAAAUUACGUUUUUAGAUAGUAAAAGUAAUAUUUGGGAUUUAUUAAAUAAAAAAAUAUUACAAAAAAAGAGUAGAAAUAAAAAAGUUAACGAUAGGAAUAAUGUUAAUGAUAGGAAU
This is a long non-coding RNA of Piliocolobus tephrosceles (Ugandan red Colobus), 4594 nucleotides long. NCBI's taxonomy places the organism in Eukaryota, Metazoa, Chordata, Mammalia, Primates, Cercopithecidae. The record is from Ensembl.